CGUGUAUGAUGUCCACAGAGGCAUCAUCAGCUCUUUGCUGUACCCGCUGAUGAACUCCACAUGAUGAAGCAAACUGUAUUGAGUGUCAAACAUCACAGCUGGACGACCAAACGGGAGGAUUUUGAAAUAAGAACGCAAACAAGCCUCAGCAGCGAAGAGUAUGCAGAGUGCAGCAAUACGAGCAUCGAGUCUGCUGUCCGCCAGCUUUGCAAAGCGAUGAGCCCUGCAAUCAUCAUGAUAUUGGAAUUGAUGCAGAGGCCAUUCUGCAGGAGUUUGAUGCAACAGGGAGAAGCACAAUGAACUUCAAAUAGGUGUCACACCCACCUCACUGCUGAGAGGACCCAGACGAUGUCCGAAGGUAUCAGGCUGCUCCGAGUGAACGGCGUAAACGUACGGUCUGAGGAUUGACAACAUAGAC
Long non-coding RNA from Epinephelus fuscoguttatus (brown-marbled grouper), 418 nucleotides. RefSeq lists it as uncharacterized. The transcript is spliced from 3 exons. NCBI's taxonomy places the organism in Eukaryota, Metazoa, Chordata, Actinopteri, Perciformes, Serranidae. The record is from RefSeq and is a predicted model, not a curated record.